This 1195-nucleotide long non-coding RNA is filed under the name Lonchura striata (white-rumped munia). Its description in RNAcentral is "domestica (Bengalese finch) lncRNA (ENSLSDG00000013193.1)". The record is from RNAcentral. Lineage: Eukaryota; Metazoa; Chordata; Aves; Passeriformes; Estrildidae.
CUGCUGUGCCACAACCCCCUGUACCGUCUGCGCUACCUCCACCACUUUCAGGGCCACCCCUUCUUCCGCGGGGUGGCUUUCGACGCUGACCUGCUGCAGAAGGACCCGGUGGUGGUGGCAGUGGCCCCGCGACCCCCCGAGCAGCCUCCACCCGACCCCGCCACUUUCGCCGACUUUGACUACGAACUCGCCGCCUCCCCGGACCGGCCCUGGCCUGGCUGAGCCACCACGGCUGGGACCCUCGGCAUCGCUCAGGGACAUCCCCCUACCCCGGCAGCGGGUCGGACCCUGCUGGGCCGGGUCCCCCAAGGGGUUACCCGGGUACCCCCCGAUCUCAUCCAUGGGUACCUCAACUCUGUACCUCUCCCCGCGGGAGCAAUAAACCCGAGAGCCGCUGGCACUGGUGCCCUGACUCGUGCUGGGGAAAGCGGGACCACCGGAGCGGAGGCGCGGGGCUGGACCCCCUCCCUCGGGGCGGGUUUGGGGCAGGUCUGGGGGGACGUGUGGGAUGGUUUCCCCCGGGGGCAGGCGAUGAGGGAGGAGCUGAAUCCCCCUGCCCGUCCGUCCGUCUGUCCGUCCGUCCGUCUGCCCUUCCGCCCGUUCCCCCGGCGCGGCGCGGCAGGGGCGUGGCCAAGGGGCGUGGCCACGCCCACUCAGCCGCCCAGCACCGCCCGUGGCCCCGCCCCCAACGGACUCUCGCGGGGUGACGCGCGCGGCUCAGCCAGUCAGAGCCGCGAGUGCUUUUCAAACCAGCGGCGCGCGGACGGCGGCGGGCCCGCACCCGCAGCCGGGACCCAGACCGAGACCCGGCACCAACCGGGAACCAGGACCCCCAGACCGAGAUACGGGCACCAGCCGGGAACCAGGACCCCCAGACCGAGACCCGGCACCAACCGGGAACCAGGACCGAGCCAGACUCCGGCCUGGUGGGUCGGGACCGAGACGGAGAGCUACCGCAGCUGUAGUCGAGCCCGGGAACACUACCAGGCCAUGCAGCGCGCCAAGACUCCUGUCGCGCAGAAGCGGCCCCGGCGCACCCCGCUGCAGCAGCUGCAGCUGGGCACCGACCGGACUGGCCUGACACCCCUGUUCCGCCGGCUGCGGCUCAAGCUGUGUGACUUAAAGCAGAGCCAGCAGCUGCGGCCUGGCAUGGGGCUGGCCAAGCAGAGGGACACAUUCACACAGACUGACACCA